RNAcentral lists this long non-coding RNA (7455 nucleotides) under Lactuca sativa (garden lettuce). Its description in RNAcentral is "long non-coding RNA (LSAT_LNC007775)". Lineage: Eukaryota; Viridiplantae; Streptophyta; Magnoliopsida; Asterales; Asteraceae. The record is from RNAcentral.
CAUACGAACUCCGUUUUCGACGUUCUUUAUAUCCACGCGAAGGUGAGACCACGCUCUACGACUUUCGUUUAGACUCCGUCGGCUAAUUUUGACUUUAUUUUUAUUAAUUAUUUUUAAUAGGCCGGGACAGAAACUUUCGUUAUAAAUUCAUAACUUCUUCGUUUGACGUCCGUUCUCGCCUAACUUUUUAUCGUUUCAAUACCAACAAUGAGAUCUUCGAUUCUCAUUUAGAUUGCUUCGGCUAACAACCGCUCGAUCUCAAAUCGAGUAAAACAGGCUGUAUAUCGCUAAGCCGGAACUUCGAUAAAUCAUAACUUCCUCAUACGAAGUCAGAUUUGGGCGUUCUAUAUAUAUUCGGAAACCUCGUUUCAACUACUACAACAUUAACCAAAGAUAUUAAGUUUAUUUUACACUUAAAUUUUGACGCUUAUUUUUAUUCUUAAUUAAUCAAACCACAUAAUUAAGCAAUUAAGCACAAAACACAUAAUACUCAAAUAAUACAAUCUUAUUAUUUCAAAACGGGUUACAAAGGUUAACCUAGACUAUUACAUUGCUAAAAAUGGCAAGCCCGGAAACACAGGCGUUACAAUUCUCUCCACCUUAGAAUGAUUCCGUCCCCGGAAUCACACAUCAACAAACAAAUGCGGAUAGCGACUCAACAUGUCACUCUCCGUCUCCCAGGUGAGAUUCGGCCCAUUCGUGUGUUUCCAUCGGACAAGCACUAACCCAACCAUUUUGCGUCGCAACUUCUUAGUCUUUCGGUCAACAAUUGCCUCUGGUUCUUCAAUCAACCUUUUGUUCUCAUCAAUUCUCAAUUCAGAAAUUGGAAUUAUAUCGGGAACUUCUCCCGUGAACUUCCUCAAAUAACACACAUGAAAGGUGUUGUGAAUUCCAUUCAGUUCUUCGGGUAAUUCGAGCUUGUAAGCUUGAUUCCCAAUCCUCUGAAGGACUUUAAACGGUCCAAUAAACCUUGGACUCAACUUUCCCCUUUUACCAAAUCUUAUAAGUCCCUUCCACGGCGAGACUUUAAGCAAAACCGAAUCUCCAACCUCAAAAGUCAUCGGUCUUCGCUUCUUGUCAGCAUAGCUCUUUUGACGAUCUUGAGCUGCUAACAUUCUUUCCCUAAUUAUUUUCAACUUUUCAGCAGUUUGAUGAACCAUCUCCGGUCCCAUAAACUGCUUUUCCCCAGCCUCAAGCCAACAAGACGGCGUACGACACUUCUGUCCAUACAAAGCUUGAUAAGGUGCCAUCUUAAUGCUCGAGUGAAAACUAUUAUUAUAGGAAAAUUCUACCAACGGUAAAUGUUCAUCCCAAUUACCUAGGAAUUCCAAGGUACAUGCUCUCAGCAUAUCUUCAAGUGUUUGUAUUGUUCUUUCACUCUGACCAUCAGUCUGCGGAUGGUAAGCUGUGCUUAAACAUAACUUGGUACCCAUUUCCUCUUGUAGACUUUUCCAAAACCUUGAGGUGAAACGGCUAUCACGAUCCGAUACAAUCGUUAACGGAACACCGUGAAGCCUCACAAUUUCCUUCACGUAAGAAUUCGCAAGCUUUUCCAUAGACCAUUUCUCCCUGGCCGCUAUGAAAUGCGCACUCUUAGUGAAUCGAUCAACGACCACCCAAAUCAUGUCGUGACCAUUCUUUGUUCUGGGCAGUUUAGUGACAAAAUCCAUAGCAAUGUCUUCCCACUUACCCAUAGGCACAGGCAAUGGUUCUAAACUCCCGUAAGGUUUCUGAUGUUGUGUCUUGACUCUCGCACAAGUCACACACUCGGCCACAUACUUUGCAACAUCAAGCUUCAUCGUCGGCCACCAGUAGUAGGGUUUCAGGUCCCUAUACAUUUUAGUGCUACCCGGAUGAAUUGAGUACAUGGUUUUGUGAGCUUCUUCCAUCAGAAGAUCCCUAAUUCCUCCUGACUUAGGUACCCAAAUACGAUCUUGGAAUACCUUCAGUCCAUGACCGUUAGUACCAAACACCAACGUUUUACCCAAACGUUCCUCCUUUCGGUCAUUUUUCUCAGAAGCUUCCUCUUGAGCUUUCUUUAUACUUUCCACAAUAGUCGAGACAACUUCAAUUCUCAACGCUCUUGGCCUCUUCCUUUCAAGAUUGACUUUCCGACUGAGAGCAUCAGCAACAACAUUAGCUUUACCGGGGUGGUAAAGUAUCUCGCAGUCGUAGUCUUUAAGUAAUUCUAGCCAGCGUCGUUGCCUCAUAUUCAAUUCUUUCUGAUUAAAGAGGUAUUGGAGACUCUUAUGAUCAGUGAAAAGUUUGCACUUCGUGCCAUAGAGGUAAUGCCUCCAUAUUUUCAGAGCGAAAACUACCGCUGCCAACUCCAAAUCAUGAGUCGGGUAAUUCUUUUCAUGCUCUUUCAGCUGUCGAGACGCAUAUGCUAUCACCUUUUCUCUUUGGGUCAAAACACAACCCAAUCCAACACCAGACGCAUCGCUAUAAACAGCGAAGUCUUCAACUCCAUCGGGUAGAGAAAGUAUCGGUGCCUCGCAUAGCUUCUUCUUUAACUUCUCGAAUGCUUCUUUAUGCUUCUCACUCCAAGCAUAAGUAGCUCCUUUGUGGGUCAAAGCUGUUAAUGGAGUAGCAAUCGAAGAAAAGCCUUGGAUAAACCUUCGGUAAUAUCCGGCUAAUCCUAAAAAGCUUCGAAUCUCCGUGGGACUUUUCGGUUGUUCCCACUUCGUCACAGCUUCGAUCUUCGCUGGAUCAACCAUUAUCCCUUCUUGGUUGACCACGUGACCCAAGAAUUGGACCUCACGAAUCCAAAAAUCACAUUUGGAGAACUUCGCAUAAAGCUUCUCCUUCUUCAAAACUUCUAACACUUCUCGCAAGUGUCUGCCAUGCUCCUCCUGGCUUUUCGAGUAGAUCAGAAUGUCGUCUAUGAACACUAUCACGGAUUUAUCAAGGAAAGGAUUACAAACCCUAUUCAUCAAAUCCAUGAACGCUGCUGGAGCAUUGGUUAGUCCAAACGACAUAACCAAGAACUCGUAGUGUCCAUAUCUAGUUCUGAAUGCAGUCUUCUCGAUAUCUUGCUCUCUUACUUUCAGCUGAUGAUAUCCUGACCUAAGAUCGAUCUUCGAGAAAUAGCUCGAACCUUGCAAUUGAUCAAACAGGUCAUCAAUCCUCGGCAACGGAUAUCUAUUCUUUAUUGUUGCCUUGUUCAGCUCUCUGUAAUCGAUGCACAUUCUCAUACUUCCAUCUUUCUUCUUUACAAAUAACACCGGAGCUCCCCAGGGCGAUGAACUAGGUCUAAUGAAACCUUUGUCCAAUAACUCCUGAAGUUGCAUCAUCAGCUCCUUCAUCUCCGUCGGUGCUAAUCGAUAAGGUGCUUUUGCUAUUGGCGUGGUUCCUGGUAACAAGUCUAUUCUGAACUCCACUUGUCUAUCAGGUGGUAAUCCAGGAAGAUCCUCGGGAAAUACUUCCGGAUAAUCACACACCACUGGAAUGCUCUGCAUCACCUUCUUUUCUUUCUUAGCAUCAAUCACGAAUGCUAAAUAUGAUGUACAUCCCUUGGUCAAACACUUUCUGGCUUUCAUUAGAGAAAUGAUUCCAGAAUUCACUCUGCGUUUGUCCCCAUACACCAUAAACGAAUCUUUCCCAGGCGGGUUUACUUUAACUAUCUUCUUCUUGCACAAAAUUUCGGCAUCAUUGGCGCUAAGCCAAUCCAUUCCCAAGACGAUGUCGAAACCAUUUAGUUCGAUAGGCAAUAAUUCCUCGAGAAACUUAUUCCCAUUAAGGUCGAUCAAGACGUUUUUCAUACGAUGGCUAACAGGUACAAACUUGCCACUAGCUACUUCGACUAAUAAAGCAUUAUCUAGUCUAUCAACAGGCAAAGCUAGCUUUCUACCAAACUCAUGCGAAAUAAAGGAGUAGUUGGCUCCAGAAUCAAACAAUAUAUGAGCAGGUAAUUCGUUUACGAGAAAGGUACCUGAAGCGACAUCAGCUUCAUCUUUCGCAGCCUCAAGUGUCAUCUGGAAGGCUCUCGCCUUCGGCUUUGGUGGAAUGUUGGGCCUAGCUGCCUCCUUCUUCUUCGGACAGUCUUUCAAAAUAUGCCCCUCUUCAUUACACCCAAAACACAUCCUUUUGUUGUUCGGACAUUCAUUGGCAAAAUGUCCAACCUUUCCACACUUGUAGCAGGUCACAUCCUCGCUACAUUUCCCAAAGUGCUUUUUCUUACACUUAUCACACCACUUUGCUUCGCCUCCUUUUCCUCCAAACUUUUUCGAAUCAGAUUUCGAAAAUUUGCUCUUCUUACUGGAACCAGAUGUUCCUUCAAACUUCCUUUUCUCACCAACCUCAACCUUGACGGUGGUUCUCCCCUUGAUCAUGUUCUCCACAGACUUGGCAGCCCAGAUAGCUGCCUCUAGAGUAAGUGCCUGACGUACCGGCACCUCGUACUCCCAUGGAAGUCCCUUCGCAUACCGAUCCACCUUUGUCAGCUCGUCUGGAACGAUACGCAAGGCAAACUCCAUCUUAUCGGUGAAGUUAUUGGUGUACUCAUCCACUGACAUGCUACCCUUCGUCAAUGUCAAAAACUUGUUCUCCAACUCCAACAGAUUUUGAGCCGAGCAGAACUUGCGCUUGAACUGCACCAAGAACUCUGCCCAUGACAAUUGCAGUGGCUCAUUAGGGCUUAAGGUCUUCCCUAGAGUGUUCCACCAACGAACGGCUCCACCUCGGAAUUGUCGCACGGCAUAGAUAGUCUGCAACUUGCCUCUACAGCCACAUGUCAUAAAGGCUAACUCCAUUUCGGAGAUCCAAUCCAUAACCCCAAUCGGAUCCUCCUUUCCAUUGAAGGUCGAUGGUUUACAAGUCAAAAAGUCCUUGUACUUGCAUCCCAUUCCAUCAUUCCUUCCAUCAUGGUUAUCUUGCCUAACUAUCGGUGGGUUGGCUGGACCAACAGACCCACUGAAGUUUCCACCUUCCGAGUGCCCUUCAUUCAGUUCAGGCUCUUCCACACGAAUCGACAGUUCUUCACGAUUUUGUUGAAGCAACCGUCUAGUUUCAUCCAUCUGACGAUCCAACAUCGUCUGAAUCAUCAAUUGCACACCAGCCAUGGUUAUUGGCUCAGGUGCUGCUGCUACGACAGGUAUUGGCUCAAUCACUGGUGGUUGAUUCCUGUUUUCGUCAGCAUUUCCAACUCCACUUCUUGUUCUCACCAUUUUGAUCUACACCGAAUAAGGUGAAAUUAGAUCCUCAAUCAUGAUAGAUAUUCAAAUCAUCCUUAUCACUCCGAAACGUUUACAUGCUAGUUCUAAUAUCGUAGACGUACGCUUAGAAUCCUACACACAUAAGGUUUCUAGAUCCGGUCGGCAACAGACCAUAGAUCCGAACAAAUAAUAUCAUAUAUGGCAACAUAUAACAUUUAGCACAUAAAGCAUUUUAGGCAACUUUCCUAAAAUAAACUAGUGCUCGUGUCUAAAUCACAACAGACACACAUCUCAAAACUUCACUUAGCAUUCUAAGUUUAAGUCUAGAAAUCCUACAAAUUCCUAGUUCGCUUAAACUAAUGCUCUGAUACCAACUGUGACAUCCCCAAAAUCUCGGCCAGAAAAGACCGAUUUUCAUUUAUGCUUUUAAAUAUUUUCAGAGUAAAUCCUUUUGAUUUGAAAGAGUUGCGGAAUUUGUUCCCAAAAACAAAACAUGAUAAAACAUUGUUUACCGAAGCAUUUCAUAAAAGAAAUGUAUUUUCAUUAUAAUCAAAACUCGGGGUGUCAUGUUCCGAUACAGACCAAUAAGCAUAAACGAAUACAUUACAAGUCAUAUAACAAAUAUAAACAUAUGCAGACUUGUAAACAAAACAACUUGAUGGUUCAUCCAUCUCAUGCCCUUCCGCCACUACCUGUAAUACAAUUUAAAACUGAGUGGGUCAGGCUUGGGAGCCUGGUGAGCAUAUAGGGUUUUCAACCCACAAUAAAUAUCAUAUUUAAUUUUCACCAACCAACAAUAACCCAAUUACCCAUUCCCGUUAUUCUCACUUUAAUGUCCCUAAAACAACUAACAUAAGGGACCUAGUCUAAGAAUAUUUCAUCGGGGCGACAACACAUGCUUCGGGGGUACCUCAGCAAUAUAAGUCAAAUAAGGCAACCAUGAGGGGGAUGGAGUACAGCGAAUGAACACCCAAGUUCAUUAACACCUACAGGUGGCGAACCUGCUAAUGUUUCCACAAGACUGUCUAGAAUAGCCAGUGGUCGUCAUCUAAACUCCGCUAGAUGACUCAAUCAAACAACAACGAGGCCUCUCAUCUGUUUAUUACACACCAACUGUCUACCCAUGUUCUACCCAACAUAUUAGUAGAUAAAAAUAUACAUUUGUAUACAUAGUUUAAAGAAAACCUGUAUAGCAUGCUUUAAUCAACACAUAUAUCACAUAACAGAUGAGGCACACACACACAUAACACAUAUCUCAUAAAGAAAUAAGCAGAUCUAUAAGAUAGAAGAGAGUGAAUACUCAUUCACACAUAACACAACCAAAUAUAUACACAUAGCACGUAUUUUUAUAUAAAAUACUUCGUAUUAUUGUAUUAGAAGAAAUAACUACACACUCACUUGAUCAGAAGAUGAUCGGACAGCACUACGGCUUAUAGAAGUAGUAAUCCUCAGCAGAUCUGGAAGAUCUCCUCGAAAAUCGAACUUCUCGCGGGCAGAGCUUCGACUCGGGAACCGCACUUUUCGGGAUCUUCGGGAUCUCGGGACUUGCCUCGGGGCUAGAGUAUGAUACCGGGACUUCGGGGUAGCUUCGGGGGUUUUUGCGCAGAGCUUCGACACGAAAACGAGAGGGAAUUGGCAAAAAUACCCGGAACCCUCGCAUCCUAUUUAUAGGAGGCUGGAGCCUCGGAGUACGCGGGGCGUACUGCGUUACGCGGGGCGUACUGCCCAAAACGUCAUUGCUUACGUAUCCGAAGUGCUCGAGUGCGAGUGUCGACAUCCCUCGGAGUACGCGGGGCGUACUCGAGUACGCGGGGCGUACCUCGGAUCAGAUCGGUGACUCCUUCGGAUAAUGCUUCCGAAUUUUGAAUUAAAUAUAAAUACAAAAUGAUUAAUAAACUUCGGAAAUUCAUAACUUCUUCAUACGAACUCCGUUUUCGACGUUCUUUAUAUCCACGGAAAGGUGAGACUACGCUCUACGACUUUCGUUUAGACUCCGUCGGCUAAUUUUGACUUUAUUUUUAUUAAUUAUUUUUAAUAGGCCGCGACAGAAACUUUCGUUAUAAAUUCAUAACUUCUUCGUUUGACGUCCGUUCUCGCCUAACUUUUUAUCGCUUCGAUACCAACAAUGAGAUCUUCGAUUCUCAUUUAGAUUGCUUCGGCUAACAACCGCUCGAUCUCAAAUCGAGUAAAACAGGCUGUAUACCGCUAAGCCGGAACUUCGAUAAAUCAUAACUUCCUUAUACGAAGUCAGAUUUGGGCGUUCUAUAUAUAUUCGGAAACCUCGUUUCAACUACUACAACAU